RNAcentral lists this ribosomal RNA (468 nucleotides) under uncultured bacterium. Its description in RNAcentral is "partial 16S ribosomal RNA". It matches the Rfam family "Bacterial small subunit ribosomal RNA", at positions 28 to 507 of the family's 1533-position model. The record is from RNAcentral.
GACGAACGCUGGCGGCGUGCUUAACACAUGCAAGUCGAACGGAAAGGCCCUGCUUUUGUGGGGUGCUCGAGUGGCGAACGGGUGAGUAACACGUGAGUAACCUGCCCUUGACUUUGGGAUAACUUCAGGAAACUGGGGCUAAUACCGGAUAGGAGCUCCUGCUGCAUGGUGGGGGUUGGAAAGUUUCGGCGGUUGGGGAUGGACUCGCGGCUUAUCAGCUUGUUGGUGGGGUAGUGGCUUACCAAGGCUUUGACGGGUAGCCGGCCUGAGAGGGUGACCGGUCACAUUGGGACUGAGAUACGGCCCAGACUCCUACGGGAGGCAGCAGUGGGGAAUAUUGCACAAUGGGCGGAAGCCUGAUGCAGCAACGCCGCGUGCGGGAUGACGGCCUUCGGGCUGUAAACCGCUUUCGCCUGUGACGAAGCGUGAGUGACGGUAAUGGGUAAAGAAGCACCGGCUAACUACGUG